Pecten maximus is the source of this 2738-nucleotide long non-coding RNA. RefSeq lists it as uncharacterized. The record is from RefSeq and is a predicted model, not a curated record. NCBI's taxonomy places the organism in Eukaryota, Metazoa, Mollusca, Bivalvia, Pectinida, Pectinidae. The transcript is spliced from 3 exons.
UAGUGUGAUGUAUGUAUACGACUUUGUAAGGGUGUAUUCCUGUAGUCUCAUUAGGGUGUUGGGAUACCAUACUGUCAGGUAGAAAAAAAAUGUUUCACGACCAGACCCUGGAAUCUUGAACGAGAAAUGAAGUAUUCCAGUGAUGAGGCCAUUAUCAACAGCUCGUAAAGACAGGAAAGGACGCGCGCGUGAGGAAUCUGUAUCUUCAAUAUGAAUAUCCUCCUUUGGGUUAUAUUUGGAGCCCUGUAUUUCUCGCCUUUGUCAGAUCGAGAGCAGUUAGAGGCCACGACAGCCCUGACAGCCGGAACUCUUAUUACUUAACAUCGAAACGGCCAGUCUAUGGAUACUUCUCCGCUUCCUUAGGUUUGAUCCGAGUGUUAAACGAUUCUCAAAGGACGUGAUGGAAGAUACAGGGAUAACGGCUUUACUGAGGGACAUGGGAAUCCCUACCAAGGGCAGCUCUGGUACCAACAGACCUCCUCCUUACUCUCCAUACGACUACACCAGUGGUCAGUACACCAGUGGUCAGUUCGGUGGGGGGUACGGACAGCAGUACUAUCCUUAUAUGUACCAGUAAAUCAUGUGUUUGGGAAUUGUAUAUAUAAUGUGUGGAUUGAAAAUAUCACUUUUACCAGUAAAACGAAUGUUUAUAACUAAUUCAGAGACUGACGGCCAUAUAUGUAUAACUAAUUCAGAGACCGACGGUCAUAUAUUUAUAACUAAUUCAGAGACCGACGGUCAUAUAUUUAUAACUAAUUCAGAGACCGACGGUCAUAUAUUUAUAACUAAUUCAGAGACUGACGGUCAUAUAUUUAUAACUAAUUCAGAGACCGACGGUCAUAUAUUUAUAACUAAUUCAGAGACCGACGGUCAUAUAUUUAUAACUAAUUCAGAGACUGGCGGUCAUAUAUUUAUAACUAAUUCAGAGACCGACGGUCAUAUAUUUAUAACUAAUUCAGAGACUGACGGUCAUAUAUUUAUAACUAAUUCAGAGACUGACGGUCAUAUAUGUAUAAAGCCCUGUAAAACUUGUAUUCGAGAAAUUAAUAUUUAAUGUAUUGGUUGAAAGACUUACGUGUAACAGAAAAAAAAAUCCGCGGGAUCUUUUCAGCUAAUUCUGUGAUUGACAGUAUGCUUUUUGACAUUAUGAACAAAGAUUAUUGUAUUAUUUUAUCUAAUAUGCAGAAAUCCUACGGAAAUGUGUUAUGAUAUUAUUAUUAUAUACAACAAAAAAUAUAUUUAUUGGCACGAAAGAAUUUCUUCGGAAUACAUUUAAACUCUAAAGGAGGGACGCUCAAACUUCAAGGGGAUGAUCGUUAAGUGUGUGAAUUUGGUAUUGUGAAAGAAAUAUGCAACAUUCUUUUCUUACUUUCAGUUAUUAUUAUCAAAUUGUCUUUGUCGAGAAUGUAGAAACUUCAGAUUCCAACGGGGAUGAAUGAUUUCAAAAUUAAAGAAAAAACAACUUUUCUCAGGAGUAAGCCUGGACUCGUCCUUGGGUUAUUGUAUUGGACGUUUUGUCAGACACACAAAAAGUAACGAGUGAUUUUUUCAAUCCGUAGAUUAUAUGAAAUAUUGUAAUGCCCUGGUCUGUAAUAUUAAAAACACGAACACUAACUAGCAUUCAGACAAUUGAAUUUAUUUCAAAUUGUUAAACGAAAAUAAAAAUAAAAAGAUAAUAAUGAAACAUUCAGCUGAUGCACAGAGAUAGGAUAACAAACUUACUGGACAGGGUUGGCGGUAUUAACAAAUGUUUUUUGUAACCAAAACAUAGUGCAGGGAAUUUAUUACGAAGUCUUUCAGUGUUUCCUUAAAUAUAUUUGUUCAGUAACUGAUAUAAAAACGUAUAUCGUUUAAAGGGAUAUAUUUCACCUCACACAAAAAUGAUCAGUUCACUUUUUACGCUCUUGGAGUCCAAAACAAAACAAAACUAGUUGUUUACCAAUUUGUUUACCGGCGGUAGUUAAAGCCUGGUGGUUAUUUUGGUAAUGUAUUCCUUGUAUUUUGACACGACUUUAAAGUUUCAUUGUGAUAAAUGUCUAUAAACAAUACUUGUGGUGAUGUCAUGUUCCAUGGCGACAUUAUGUAAUCAUUGCUAUGACAUAAUGUUUCACGACAGAAUGGCAUCACAAUAAUAUGAUGACGUCAUGUUUAUAUGACAGUGUCAAUGUCAAUAUAAUUUAGAUAUAGAUGCUCACUCUCACUACGUUACACGUAGUGAUAAUGAACAUCUAUGUUUUAAUUAGAUUGUGCCACCGUAAUAUAAACGUUGAUGAGAAUUUCUGUCGGCUAAAUAGAAUACCUCAUGCCAAGGGUUUCUCACAUAUGUAAUAAUGUAGGGUGUGACAGGGCGUAUCAAUCCAAGAGCCCAUAGGUAACACUGCGGCACAGUCUUCAUCCGCGACACGACCAGACGGUGUCCCUGGGGACCAGUUGGAAUACCGAAGUGAAACACCUGCCCUGCCCCAUCUCCAUUCACCUUCUACAUCGAUAUCAUUAGCGGCCAUGAAUACGGUUUGGAGGUCUGCAACGAGAACAGUAAUGAGUUAUCUAUCCAGAUUUUCUGGGGAAUGUUUCCAGCAAUAUUAGAAAUAAAUAUGAAUUGCAAAUCUUUAUUUAAGAGGAAUGUUUUGAAUCACUUAAUUAUUUGUACGUUCAGUGUUUCGAAGCGAUUAAAGUGAAGCUUUUCCCUUUGUAUAACUGCGAACUGAACCAGUAAAAAUGUAUGAUCGCAAUUUUAA